AGCAGCCGCGGUAAUUCCAGCUCCAAUAGCGUAUAUUAAAGUUGUUGCAGUUAAAAGCUCGUAGUUGAAUUUCGGGGUUAGUAGGUUGGUCAUGCCUCUGGUAUGUACUGGUCUCACUGAUUCUUCCUUCCUGAUGAACCUUAAUGCCAUUUAUUUGGUGUUUUGGGGAAUUUGGACUGUUACUUUGAAAAAUUAGAGUGUUUAAAGCAAGCUAACGCUUGAAUACAUUAGCAUGGAAUAAUGAAAUAGGACGUUCGAUCCUAUUUUGUUGGUUUCUAGGAUUGACGUAAUGAUUAAUAGGGAUAGUUGGGGGCAUUAGUAUUCAAUUGUCAGAGGUGAAAUUCUUGGAUUUAUUGAAGACUAACUACUGCGAAAGCAUUUGCCAAGGAUGUUUUCAUUAAUCAAGAACGAAAGUUAGGGAUCGAAGACGAUCAGAUACCGUCGUAGUCUUAACCAUAAACUAUAGCCGACUAGGGAUCGGAUGAUGUUAAUUUUUAAUGUACUCAUUCGGCGCCUUACG
RNAcentral lists this unclassified non-coding RNA (520 nucleotides) under uncultured Glomus. RNAcentral describes it as "SSU rRNA". It matches the Rfam family "Eukaryotic small subunit ribosomal RNA", at positions 569 to 1092 of the family's 1831-position model. The record is from RNAcentral. Lineage: Eukaryota; Fungi; Glomeromycota; Glomeromycetes; Glomerales; Glomeraceae.